Long non-coding RNA from Felis catus (domestic cat), 3705 nucleotides. RefSeq lists it as uncharacterized. The transcript has 5 exons. NCBI's taxonomy places the organism in Eukaryota, Metazoa, Chordata, Mammalia, Carnivora, Felidae. The record is from RefSeq and is a predicted model, not a curated record.
AACGAAGUUAUAAGAAACUUCUGCCUCUGCCAUUAAGAGCUCUCAUUAGCUCUCCUUAGAAGGACAAUGGGGAACCAGAGAAAUAAUUUGAACAUGAUAAUCCCAUGAAUACUCGAAGCAAGGUUUGGAAACCUGAAAAGAUCCUAGGUAGUCACAAAGUGGUUCAGCACAGAAGCUGAGGUCUUAGAAUCUAAGAGAAAACAAGGGGCUCUACCCAAGGCAGCAGAAAGAAGGAAAACCGGAGGGACGGAAUCUCUGGUCCGGCCAAGGAAAGUGAGAGCAGCCAGUAGGCCAGGUGGUGCCCGUGGGAGACGGAUGGUAGGGCCAAGUGCCAGUCGAGAGCCAAAGAGAGGAGAAAAGAAGUGUCCUCGGGAACUGUAAGGUUCUGAAUGUGAAUGAGUCAAGGUGCCUUGAGAUGAUGAGAUGAAGUAAGAUGUAAAAAUAUCUUAAACAUCUUUCCUUAAUACAGAAAGCUAACUAUAUGAAAUGAGAGGUGCGUUUAAAGGCUGUCAAAAAGAGAAUCUUCUCGAAGACAAAUGGUAUACCUCUUUGGCCAGUCACAAUUCCUAAUGAUGUCAUAAUUCAAAUACACCUACCCUGCCCUCAGGUCUACAACGGGCUCCUCAAACUGUCUCACAACCUUACGACCCUGGUCACGACUAACCGGACCGGCAGUGAGCCGUCGGUCCAACACCAGGAAACUCAUUUGCGAGUCAGCGGCAAUAUUUUCCUUCUCAAGAAUUUCUAUGAAGACUAUCCUCAGAAGGUAGAGAUUCUGUGGGUUCCCAAGGUCCACACUGUAGGAUACGGAGAUGGAUAAGUAGUGAAAUCCUGUCCUCGGAGAAGGAGAACAGGGCAAAAGUGAACCAGGGCAGAACCCUGAGAGCUGCAGAAAAGCUAGAAAGGCUUCCAUGGCAUUAUUUUACCCAUUGAAAAUCACUGCUUAGAAUUAUUAACCGUUCCAUUGAUUGUCAUACCCCUCAUCUUUCGUCUUCCUUGUUCUCCAAAGUAAUGAAGAAUGUUCUGCACAACACUCAAGGGGAAACGGGGAUACACAUUUCCUCAUGUCACGAGGUGAAUUCUAGCAGAGUUAUGAAAAAAAGUUGAGCAGGAAAAAAAGUCGUAUUGUUGAUACAACAGAAGAAAAAAAAAUGGAUAAUUUUGCUCCUGAAUUUCAGGGGAAUACAAGUUCCAAGGGGAGAAAAAUGUUCUGCCUAAAAGAAAAAUCUUUUUAAUAACCCUGGGCUGCAAUGUACACAAAUCACAAAGGAAGAGAAGGCCUAGUUUAUCAGACGGCCGUUUCCAGGUCCCACAGAGAGGCCCGGAGAUGAGCAAUCAAAUAAAACCGUAAUUAGAUGAUAUACUUGACAACUGUUUGGGACUUUUCUUUCUUUCCAACAAAGUAACUAGUAAGAAUCCAUCGUUCUUAUUCAGCAAGAGAGAAAAUCUUUAGAAGAAAACGAUGACCAAAAACUUAGGGGCGACAUUCUACAAAGAAGAGCGGCCAGCUGGCUGGAAGUCACAGCUGAUGUGGAACUAACCAGGCCGUCACAAGGACUUUCAUAAAACCAAUUAUUUUCAGAGAACACAGAGCACAAAGGACAAUCCGUAUGGGUUUGAAAGGACCAGCAAAAAAAAAAAAGAGCUGAAGACGUUCACUGUGUUUUCACCUCAAAAUCUUUUUACAUUGCUUUAACAGAAGGCAUGUCUUCUCAGUGGUUAAGUUUAUACGCUUACACUGGGAGGGUUUCUUCUCCAAGUGAGGGGCUUUAAAUUAUCACAACAACUACAAUUUGAGCAGCAUGUCCAGAAAAAAAAAAAAAAACAAAACCCUGUUCUUAACAGAUAUUUCUGUACAAGGUACAGUUUAUGCUAAAUCUAGAUACCAACAUUUGGUAUCUAGAAUAGACCAACAUUUGACCAGAAUAGACAGAAGGCAUCUAUUCGGUAUGAAUGUCUUAUUCAUAACUGUACCUGGAUGAGUGGCAUUUAAAUCUGGAUUUUAACUUUGAAAAGGUCUGAACCUAAUGGCAAUGUGAGAAUUGUAAACAAAGUACCUUAACUUAAGCAUAAAUGUAUAUAAUUAUGGUGAGAUAUCAUUGAGUAGAUUGGCAUUGACUGGGUAAGGCUAUGUUCUGUGGAGGUUAAAAUAGCUAAAUUUAGACACAGAUUUGUUGAGUAGCACAUACUAGCAAGAUGACCUUGGUCAAGGCAGUUUGCCUUCCCAAUUUCCUUACCUAUACAAUGCCAAUAAUAGGAGGACCUACCUCAUAGUCUUGAUAGGAAAAUUAUGUGAAAUAGACUGGUUAGCACAAACCUAACUCACACUAGGUAGGUACUCAGUCCUCGAGCAUGAUGGUAAAGAUGGUUUACCAUUGUGAUCGUCACAAUGACAUCGGUCUCUAGCUGCUCCUCAUUGUGGGUCAGCUCUGAAUAUUUGCUCUGUCCUGUCUCCUAAUUCUCGUUUUCAGUGGUAUUUGGUGCAUGUUCAGCACCUUUGCUCUUCAUAGAAAGCCCUUUGUCUUUACACCACAAAUAGGGAUAUGUAGAGUUCUCCUGCACCACCGUCCCUACGCCAAUUUUUCUUUCCCCCACUAUGUCUUAUAAAAGUGAGCCUCUUGCUUCACUCGCUAGCACAGGAAUGACAUACAUCUGCUCAUCUGACACUAUCAUCCUUUUCCGCCUAUGUACUCUAGGCUAAAAGCACCACCACCCCUCUGGAAUAUACCUGGGCAGUAAAUUCCCCAACCGUGUGGAAUCAUGAUUCUCCUGGGUAACACCUGCCUCUGACAAUUUAGAGUGCAUCACUGCUACAGUCUUUUGUAACUGGUUGAUGGAACAACAACAACAACAACAACAACAAAAAUAAAAAUGAAGUUGUCAAAUUCCAAACUGUAGGAUAAAUGAGUUUCAAAGGACCUGAAGAUGUAUCUUAUGUUAUGAAGAGGAAACUGAGGCUAAGAGAGAGGAGAUCAAUUGCUGCAGGCACAGGCAUGUGCACUACCCGGAACGGCUAUGAAGGCUGCCUUCACCAAGCAACUUUGACUCCUUGCCCGGAUGACUGCUUCCCUCCGGAUGCCUGAUGCCUUCUCGUGAAAACGGAAGAACCAGUCGCCAGCACCCAUUUCCCGGCAAGAUCUUCUCUGAGACGCACUUGCAGGGUAUACUUUGGAAGAAGGUGAAGUUGUUGGGAAAGUCUCCAACGGCCCCCACACCCUGGUCCUCCGCGCACUUGAACCGUCCCCUGACUCCGACCCCCAGGCUGAUGUCCACCCUCACCUCACUCCUCUGAGCUUACUUCCUGUUUUGUGUGAACCGAAGGCGAUGAUACUGGUCCCAAAGAGUUCCUGUGAGAAGGACAUCCUGAUAGUACACCGGAGGCACUCACCAGCAUGCAUCACCUCAGUUAUGUGGAAACCAAGGGAAGCACGAGAGCGGAGCACUCACGACUGGGAUGGGCGCCCUUACGAGAAGAGACAGAAGGAUCCCUCUCUCUAUCAUGUCAGAACACUGCAAGAAUGCAAGCAGGGAGAGAGGACUCCCCAGGAACCCAAUCAACCGGCAUCUUGAUCUUGCUGUUCCCAGUCUUUGGAACUGUGAGAGGGGCGCCUGGGGGACUCAGCCGGUUAAAGGUCCGACUUCAACUCAGGUUAUGAUCUCGCGAUUCGUGUGGGUUCGCGCCCCGCUUCGGGCUCUGUGUUGACA